AGGGAGGAAAGGUNNUGGUUUAAUACNCCNUUGCUGUGACGUUACCUACAGAAGAAGGACCGNNANNCUUCGUGCCAGCAGCCGCGGUAAUACGAGGGGUCCAAGCGUUAAUCGGAAUUACUGGGCGUAAAGCGUACGCAGGCGGNUCGUUAAGCCAGAUGUGAAAUCCCCGGGCUCAACCUGGGAAUUGCAUUUGGAACUGGUGAACUAGAGUCUUGUAGAGGGGGGUAGAAUUUCAGGUGUAGCGGUGAAAUGCGUAGAGAUCUGAAGGAAUACCGGUGGCGAAGGCGGCCCCCUGGACAAANACUGACGCUCAUGUACGAAAGCGUGGGGAGCAAACAGGAUUAGAUACCCUGGUAG
RNAcentral lists this ribosomal RNA (360 nucleotides) under Shewanella sp. Asnod6C10. Its description in RNAcentral is "partial 16S ribosomal RNA". It matches the Rfam family "Bacterial small subunit ribosomal RNA", at positions 441 to 793 of the family's 1533-position model. The record is from RNAcentral. Lineage: Bacteria; Pseudomonadati; Pseudomonadota; Gammaproteobacteria; Alteromonadales; Shewanellaceae.